Molecule: ribosomal RNA, 914 nt
Filed under: Priestia endophytica
Lineage: Bacteria; Bacillati; Bacillota; Bacilli; Caryophanales; Bacillaceae
Description: bacterial SSU rRNA
Rfam family: Bacterial small subunit ribosomal RNA
Source: RNAcentral
CUGGCGGCGUGCCUAAUACAUGCAAGUCGAGCGGAGUUUUGAAAAGCUUGCUUUUCAAAACUUAGCGGCGGACGGGUGAGUAACACGUGGGCAACCUGCCCUUGAGACGGGGAUAACUCCGGGAAACCGGAGCUAAUACCGGAUAACACAUAUCUUCGCAUGAGGAUAUGUUAGAAGGUGGCUUUUAGCUACCACUCAAGGAUGGGCCCGCGGCGCAUUAGCUAGUUGGUGAGGUAACGGCUCACCAAGGCGACGAUGCGUAGCCGACCUGAGAGGGUGAUCGGCCACACUGGGACUGAGACACGGCCCAGACUCCUACGGGAGGCAGCAGUAGGGAAUCUUCCGCAAUGGACGAAAGUCUGACGGAGCAACGCCGCGUGAGUGAUGAAGGUUUUCGGAUCGUAAAGCUCUGUUGUUAGGGAAGAACAAGUACCUGUUAAAUAAGCAGGUACCUUGACGGUACCUAACCAGAAAGCCACGGCUAACUACGUGCCAGCAGCCGCGGUAAUACGUAGGUGGCAAGCGUUGUCCGGAAUUAUUGGGCGUAAAGCGCGCGCAGGCGGUUCCUUAAGUCUGAUGUGAAAGCCCACGGCUCAACCGUGGAGGGUCAUUGGAAACUGGGGAACUUGAGUGCAGAAGAGGAGAGCGGAAUUCCACGUGUAGCGGUGAAAUGCGUAGAGAUGUGGAGGAACACCAGUGGCGAAGGCGGCUCUCUGGUCUGUAACUGACGCUGAGGCGCGAAAGCGUGGGGAGCGAACAGGAUUAGAUACCCUGGUAGUCCACGCCGUAAACGAUGAGUGCUAAGUGUUAGAGGGUUUCCGCCCUUUAGUGCUGCAGCAAACGCAUUAAGCACUCCGCCUGGGGAGUACGGUCGCAAGACUGAAACUCAAAGGAAUUGACGGGGACCCGCACAA